This 406-nucleotide ribosomal RNA is filed under the name uncultured bacterium. RNAcentral's name for it is "partial 16S ribosomal RNA". It matches the Rfam family "Bacterial small subunit ribosomal RNA", at positions 30 to 526 of the family's 1533-position model. The record is from RNAcentral.
AUUGAACGCUGGCGGCAGGCCUAACACAUGCAAGUCGAACGAGUGGCGGACGGGUGAGUAAUGUCUGGGAAACUGCCCGAUGGAGGGGGGUAACUACUGGAAACGGUAGCUAAUACCGCAUACCAUCGGAUGUGCCCAGAUGGGAUUAGCUAGUAGGUGGGGUAACGGCUCACCUAGGCGACGAUCCCUAGCUGGUCUGAGAGGAUGACCAGCCACACUGGAACUGAGAGCCGGUCCAGACUCCUACGGAAGGCAGAAUUGGGGAAUAUUGGACAAUGGGGGCAAGCCUGAUGCAGCCAUGCCGCGUGUAUGAAGAAGGCCUUCGGGUUGUAAAGUACUUUCAGCGAGGAGGCGUUACGCGCAGAAGAAGCACAGGCUAACUCCGUGCCAGCAGCAGCGGUAAUUC